Molecule: ribosomal RNA, 314 nt
Filed under: uncultured bacterium
Lineage: Bacteria
Description: partial 16S ribosomal RNA
Rfam family: Bacterial small subunit ribosomal RNA
Source: RNAcentral
UUAUAAGAGACAGCAGCAGCCACGGGAAUACGAAGGGUGCAAGCGUUACUCGGAAUUACUGGGCGUAAAGCGUGCGUAGGUGGUGGUUUAAGUCCGUUGUGAAAGCCCUGGGCUCAACCUGGGAAUUGCAGUGGAUACUGGGUCACUAGAGUGUGGUAGAGGAUAGUGGAAUUUCCGGUGUAGCAGUGAAAUGCGUAGAGAUCGGAAGGAACAUCUGUGGCGAAGGCGACUAUCUGGGCCAACACUGACACUGAGGCACGAAAGCGUGGGGAGCAAACAGGAUUAGAGACCCCAGUAGUCCCUGUCUCUUAUAC